GGGGCGGUGGCGCAGCUGGGAGCGCGUCAGACUGAAGUCAAACUUCAUCAAUUAUCUGAAGGUCAUCGGUUCAAGCCCGGUCCACCCCA
RNAcentral lists this transfer RNA (89 nucleotides) under Nemania sp. NC0429. RNAcentral describes it as "tRNA-Phe". It matches the Rfam family "tRNA". Rfam says of the family: Transfer RNA (tRNA) molecules are approximately 80 nucleotides in length. Lineage: Eukaryota; Fungi; Ascomycota; Sordariomycetes; Xylariales; Xylariaceae. The record is from RNAcentral.